UAACAAUGGAACACAUAGCAUUGAUUCCAAAUAACGUUUUAUGUUCAUAGAAAAAGCAGCAUUUUCAUGUGUGUACCAGUGCCAGUUCAGAGUGACUCCACCUUGGCCUGUGGGUUUUCCAGCUUUAUAUCAGCAAAAGCAAGUCCAGAGUUAGGGCCUGGCUUCUCUCCAAUGUGUUGAACCACUUUUGGCACGUGCAGCUCUUCACACAGAGAGCCAGUGGCUCUCAGCACAGUUCCAAGGCUGCAGGAGCCUAAAGUGCUUUGUGCGUGAGAUUAAAAAGCUGCAAGUCUCAGGCCAUCUGGCCAACCAAAUGGAUUUCGUGUACAGGAUCACUGCCAGAUGUAUGCCAGUUGUAAGUUUAAUUUUUGAACAUAUAAAGUGCCU
This 387-nucleotide long non-coding RNA is filed under the name Cyanistes caeruleus (blue tit). Its description in RNAcentral is "lncRNA (ENSCCEG00000010643.1)". The record is from RNAcentral. Lineage: Eukaryota; Metazoa; Chordata; Aves; Passeriformes; Paridae.